This 489-nucleotide ribosomal RNA is filed under the name uncultured bacterium. RNAcentral's name for it is "partial 16S ribosomal RNA". It matches the Rfam family "Bacterial small subunit ribosomal RNA", at positions 28 to 506 of the family's 1533-position model. The record is from RNAcentral.
GAUGAGCGCUAGCUACAGGCUUAACACAUGCAAGUCGAGGGGCAGCAUGGUCUUAGCUUGCUAAGGCCGAUGGCGACCGGCGCACGGGUGAGUAACACGUAUCCAACCUGCCGUCUACUCUUGGACAGCCUUCUGAAAGGAAGAUUAAUACAAGAUGGCAUCAUGAGUCCGCAUGUUCACAUGAUUAAAGGUAUUCCGGUAGACGAUGGGGAUGCGUUCCAUUAGAUAGUAGGCGGGGUAACGGCCCACCUAGUCUUCGAUGGAUAGGGGUUCUGAGAGGAAGGUCCCCCAAAUUGGAACUGAGACACGGUCCAAACUCCUACGGGAGGCAGCAGUGAGGAAUAUUGGUCAAUGGGCGCAGGCCUGAACCAGCCAAGUAGCGUGAAGGAUGACUGCCCUAUGGGUUGUAAACUUCUUUUAUAAAGGAAUAAAGUCGGGUAUGUAUACCCGUUUGCAUGUACUUUAUGAAUAAGGAUCGGCUAACUCCGU